Non-coding RNA from Paramuricea clavata, 1199 nucleotides. The record is from the annotation of a GenBank genome assembly. Lineage: Eukaryota; Metazoa; Cnidaria; Anthozoa; Malacalcyonacea; Plexauridae.
UGGCCGACUGUGGUGAAGUUUAGUUUGAUUCCCACAAUCGGUUCGAAGAAGUAAAGACUUUAUAAUAUCACGUUUUGUUUAAGUUAUAAUUCCCGUUCUAAAGUCAACGCUCGCUCACAUGUUAUAUACUAUAUCCGAAGUGUCAAUCAAAUUGUACAUUUCCUUAAUAAUAUUAACACUACUGAUCUAUAAAUGUAACUGUAUAAACGUUCACGAUACACUCCCCCUAUUUUAAAUAAUCCUUAUUUGAAAUAUAAACUAACUAAGUUUGACUAACUGUUGUUCGCUUUAUCAAGUCACUUACAGUUUUACUUAUACCCAUGCAAAGUUAUUAGUCACCGUCCUCUUCAGUCUCCUGCAUCUGAUGAAUAUUCCUUAAUGCUUCAACCGCUGCUCUUCGUUUUGGUCUAAACUCUCUGGCUUCGGGGUUCAGUUCUCCUUGAUUUUGUUUCUUCGCUUCACAGUGUAGCUCCAUUGGAUAUAGAAACUGAAUAGGUCUUUCGAGGUAACUCUUUCCUGCACGCAGUCUCACCGCUCUCACAAUUUCAUCUCUUCCAGGUAUUAGUUUGUCCACGAUUCCAAUCUUCCACUUGCCUCGGUUCUUUUCAUCGCCCUUGAUAAGAACUACAUCGCCUUCUUGCAAUCGUGCACUUUUCCCGUGGUGUCGUAAAUUGUGUCUCUCUCGAAGUGCUCUCAUGUAUUCAUUUCGCCAACGACGCCAUAACGCAUCUUUACACUUCUUUAAAUGUUUUGCUCUCCUUCGUAGAUCGUCUUCUUCAAUUUCUUCGACAGGCAACUCUAAUAGAUAAUUUGCUUUUCCCAAUAUCAGGAGGUUUGGUGUGAGAACCGGAAGUUGCACGUCAUCUUCACAAUACGUUAAAGGGCGGGUAUUCAGUACUAUUUGUAUGUCCAAUAAUACAUCUUGCAACUCUUUGUAAGUGAGUUUAGCUGAACCAACAACUUUGUAAAGCGAAUUCUUCACCAAUCCAACCAUUCUUUCAAACAAGCCGCCCCACCAGCUUGCCUUGCUUAAGUUAAAGGGAGGGGAGGUGAAAAAUUUACACUGUACCUCCGAUAGGCCCUGUAAUUUUCCCUAUUGAAAAGUCUCUGCACGAAUUUUUUUUUCAAACAUUUCUGGUGCACGAUUUUUUUUUCUUUCUAUUUUCCCUGCUCGAUUUUUAUUUUUGCUUUUGCCCCCC